AUGGAGGUCGAGGUCGCCAAGGAAGGGAGGCAGCAGGGGCAUGGCGAUGCUGAUGGCCUCGCGGGCCAUGCCGGGCGACGGGCGCGGCUUGGGGAGGCGCAGACGAAGCGAAGUCCAGCGGCGGCGAGGCAUCGACGCGGGGAAGCGGAUCGGGAGGAUGGGACAGGGAGGCUGGCGGCGCUGGAGGAUGGGAUCGGGGAAGAGGUUCGAGGGGAGAGGGUGAGUGGGAUCGAGGCCCCUGGUGCGAUGCGUGCCUCUGGCGGCGGUGGGAACGAGCAGGAGGGAUCGAGAGGGAGAUGGCGAGAGACGGGCAUCGAGGCUAGGGUUUACAGCGGGGCGUGGCUGGGCCUUAGAGGCCGGCCCGGUAGUGAAGGAAGUGGCCAGAGGCCUGGCUGGGCUGCUGGGCUCACUUCUCCUUCUCUCUUAUUUACCCAAACAGUAAAAAAAUAG
This 450-nucleotide ribosomal RNA is filed under the name Triticum aestivum (bread wheat). Its description in RNAcentral is "partial small subunit ribosomal RNA". The record is from RNAcentral. Lineage: Eukaryota; Viridiplantae; Streptophyta; Magnoliopsida; Poales; Poaceae.